CCUACGGGCGGCAGCAGUGAGGAAUAUUGGUCAAUGGACGAGAGUCUGAACCAGCCAAGUGGCGUGAAGGAUGACUGCCCUAUGGGUUGUAAACUUCUUUUAUAUGGGAAUAAAAUGUUCCACGUGUGGGAUUUUGUAUGUACCAUAUGAAUAAGGAUCGGCUCACUCCGUGCCAGCAGCCGCGGUAAUACGGAGGAUCCGAGCGUUAUCCGGAUUUAUUGGGUUUAAAGGGAGCGUAGGUGGAUUGUUAAGUCAGUUGUGAAAGUUUGCGGCUCAACCGUAAAAUUGCAGUUGAAACUGGCAGUCUUGAGUACAGUAGAGGUGGGCGGAAUUCGUGGUGUAGCGGUGAAAUGCUUAGAUAUCACGAAGAACUCCGAUUGCGAAGGCAGUUCACUGGACUGCAACUGACACUGAGGCUCGAAAGUGUGGGUAUCAAACGGGAUUAGAUACCCCAGUAGUC
RNAcentral lists this ribosomal RNA (460 nucleotides) under uncultured bacterium. RNAcentral describes it as "partial 16S ribosomal RNA". It matches the Rfam family "Bacterial small subunit ribosomal RNA", at positions 338 to 795 of the family's 1533-position model. The record is from RNAcentral.